GCGGGGAAACUCACCAGGUCCAGACAUAACUAGGGUUGACAGAUUGAUAGCUCUUUCAUGAUUUUAUGGGUGGCGGUGCAUGGCCGUUCUUAGUUGGUGGAGUGAUUUGUCUGGUUAAUUCCGAUAACGAACGAGACCUUAACCUGCUAAAUAGCCAGGCCGGCUUUCGCUGGUCGCCGGCUUCUUAGAGGGACUGUCAGCGUCUAGCUGACGGAAGUUUGAG
RNAcentral lists this ribosomal RNA (223 nucleotides) under uncultured marine eukaryote. RNAcentral describes it as "partial 18S ribosomal RNA". It matches the Rfam family "Eukaryotic small subunit ribosomal RNA", at positions 1205 to 1449 of the family's 1831-position model. The record is from RNAcentral.